Passer domesticus (house sparrow) is the source of this 3384-nucleotide long non-coding RNA. RefSeq lists it as uncharacterized. NCBI's taxonomy places the organism in Eukaryota, Metazoa, Chordata, Aves, Passeriformes, Passeridae. The record is from RefSeq and is a predicted model, not a curated record. The transcript is spliced from 4 exons.
GACUUACAGAACUUUUAAUGUUUAAAGUAGCUUUUAACUUUUAAAGUAACUUUUACAGACUUAAAAACUUUUUUUCUAUACAGCAGUUCAUUGGAAUCUCAUGUGAUAAUGUGAUUCCUCUACCCAGACAUCAGAUAAACCUAGCAAGUAUUGUAAAACUCAUGGAAAAAAAAGCAGUUCAAAGCAAUGGAAAAACAACACCAGUGUCAAAAUGCCAUGAAGGCCUGGCAGCAGCUUGCCAUGGAAGUGGCUUUCAUGGAGCAGUCUGAGCAGUGUUCUUCAACCUGCCGUGCCAGCCAGCACGUGCUAACAUGUUGUGCAACAGAACCAGUUGGACAAGAAAUCCAGGAGUAUUUAAGAAGCCCAAGGAUGUGCACUUUAUGCCUUUGAGCAGCAGAGGCUUGCUGGGAAUGGCCCCAGACUGUCAGUAACCACAAGAUCUAUCAUCUUCAAUACCUAUAGGACAGAUGGAAGUAGAAAAGGCAGCACGAAAGAGUUUGAAAUAAUGGAGUUAAAACUACUCUAAUGAGAAUACACUUUGGAGAAUAUAAUGAUGAUGAACGAUGCUCAAAGGGAGAAGGGAGCAAUUACCUGGACUGGAUGAUCAGAAGAAAAAGAAACACAUAGGAAGUAUUGGACAUUUUUAACCUUUGAAUUCCAUCAAAGGAAUAUUGGUUUUUAUUCUUCAGUCCAUUACACAGAACUCUGCUCGAGCACAGUCCUCUCUCCCACACUGCGUUGAGAAAUUCUCAGAUGUCUGUAAAGGAUCAGGGAGAAACAAUGCUCAGGACCUCCCUGGCUAUCCCAUUUCUGUCCCAAACUCUGCACACGGGCUGCCAACUACAUAUGAAGAUGCUUUUGCUGAGCUGAAGCUCACUCUGAAUAAGCUGGGGAAAUAAGAAUACCUCAGGAUUGCUCCAAAACUUCAAUACCUUACUCCAAAAAUCUUAGAACUUAUAAAGCAUUUAGAAACCAGAAGGAAAAGCCCCGCUGAACAGGAGAAAGCACUCCCACAUACACAACACUGCAUCAACAGAAACUCCUAAGAGCAGAGCUAUGAAAAUCAGGAUUUCUUCCCUUGUCACAGACCUCUAGAUGGAGCUGCCUCUUUUGUUUUCAAACCGAGCAGGAGCCACUGAAGUACUGCCACAAGGCAAGGCAAGGGGAAUGUAAAGUUUAGGCAUUUGCAAGGGGAGAAUGGAAUGGGAGCAUUACUUUGCAUACGUGUUGUGCUGUCAUUAGAUACUGUCAGCUUCUCCAUAAUUCUUUGAGAAAUCAGCUGUGUUGUCCUUGCUUACAAAAGUCACUCCUUCCAGUUUUUUGGGGGAGAAGAGACAGAUUCAGCUGGAGGGUGCUGAGAUCUCAGUGUAAAGAAUAUCCCUAUGAAGAGGGAAAGGCUGCAAAAAUUUGGAUAACAAAGAACAAUUUUUUCUCCCAUAAAGUGGGUUUCAUUCCAGGAAGACCUACACCAUCCCAUGGACAGGGGAAACAAUUUUCCCAACAGAUCUGGCCAGACUGAAGAGAACUGACAGCCUGAAUGCCAUUCUCAGCCUGCAUGAUCCCAUAAGCCUGGAGAAGAAGCCUUGAGGGGACCACCACGGCCACACCUCGAAUCCUGGGGUCAGGUUUGGGAUCCUCACAACAAGAAAGACUUUGAGGGGCUGGUGCAGAGAAGGGAAUGGAGCUGCGAAGGAUCUGGAGCACAAGUCUGAUGAGGAGCAGAUGAGGGAGCUGGAAGGGGGCUCAGCCUGGAGAAAAGGAGGUUCAGGAGGGACCUUCUGGCUCUGCACAACUCCUGACAGGAGGGAGGAGCCAGGUGAGGGUCAGGCUCUGCUCCCAAGGAGCAAGAGAUAGGACAAAAGGAAAUGGCCUCACCAGAGAAAGUUUAGACUGGAUAUUAGGAACAGUUUCUUCACUGAAAGGGUGGUUGGACUGCCCUAAACAGGCUGUUUGGGGAAGUGAUGGAAAAAUAAUAACAAUCUCUGAAAACCUUCAAAAAACUUUUAUAGGUGGCACCUGAGGACAUGGAUUAGUGGUGGCCUUGACAGUGCUGGGAGAAUCGUUGGGUUUGAUGACCUAAAAAGUCUUUUCCAACCUAAAUGAUUCUCUGCCAGCACUAUGCACAGGAGAAACACCAAGUGUUGUGUCCCACUAUUCCCACCAGGCCUGGGAGCCACAAACCCCAAACUUUGGGAGGACUGAAGAAGCACACAUCUCCUUUUAAAUGUGACCCCUAAAACCCUGUCACCCUUGCACAGAGUGAGCAGCACAAAUAGGCAGGAUCCAGAGUCAGCAUUUCAUAUUCCCUAAUUUCUCAUCAGCCUUAAAAAAGCCUCUGGGAAGACAGAGCAUCCCUGUGUUUCACUGCUGCCAGUGCCUGUUCCUCUAGAGGGUACCCUCAGCCCACAGGGAGCUCUGCUGAGCACUGCUCCUAAUGAAACCUGAAGGCCAGGCCCAGGAAAGUAAAAAUAAAACUUUACAGAAAAGCAUGCUGUAAUUUUAUGAUGCACUUUAAUUUGAUUCUGGUUAGUUAGAGCAGCCCCCUGGGCAGGCUGGGCUGCACUGAGCAGCACAGGGCUGUGCUUUCAACUUCCAGCUCCAGCCUCUCCCAAGGACAUAAAUGUUAAAGCCUCCUGUGCAAUCAAAGACAAAAAUUACUCUGAGGUGUAAAUGAAAAAAACCCAGGAGACCCACAGGAGUUCACAUUUAAAAUACAUAUUUAAUCUUAUUAAAUACAUAAGAGAAAAAAAUGUUCAGAUCUCUCGUGUUAUUUACUUUUUAGUGGUGCCUUAGGGGAGUGAAAUAAACAUAGGACUGCCCUGUACUAGGAACUGGGUGAACACCUAGAAAGAAACACACACCUUGUCCCACAGAAUUUGCCAUCAAAACAGACAAUGCAUGAGGGAAGAAGGAAAACAAACCAAAGAGGGGGGAAAGUGGUGGCCUGAGACUACCCUGGAGGUGGGACAGAGCCAGGACACAGGUCACCAGAUCCCCUGCCAGGGUCCCUGUGCUUGGCUCACCCUGUCUCAGGUGUCCUGUGCUCACAGUGUGCCCUGGUUUCCCCAUGGUUUGGGUUUUUCCUCCUAGGACACAGACAAGGAUGCACAGCUCUUCUGGAAGCCAGCCCCCCCAGUCCUGCUGCAGCUAAACUAAAGCAGGUCACAGGAAAUGUUAACUCACUGAGCAUGACUAAACACCAGCCUAAACUGUCACCUAGCAAAAGGAACCAAAUACUUGGAAAUGACACCUCUUUUCAUUUUUUUCAAAGGAAAAUACACCCAGCUCUUCAAACUCUGCCUGUUCCAGUAGCUCCCAUACCCCUGGAGACUGGUGGCUAAGUCUGCACCUGCCAUGUUCUGAGGGAAGCUCAGAGGGGUUUCG